GACGAACGCUGGCGGCGUGCUUAACACAUGCAAGUCGAACGGAAAGACGCUGCUCUUGUGGGUUGCUCGAUAGGCGAGCGCGUGAGUAACACGUGAGUAUCCUGCCCUUAAAUGUGGGAUAACUUCAGGAAACUGGGGCUAAUACCGGAUAGGAUCUCCUGCUGCAUGUUGGUCGUUGGAAAGAUUCGGCGGUUGGGGAUGGACUGGCGGCUUAUGAGCUUGUUUGUGGGGUAGUGGCUUACCAAGGCUUCGACGGGUAGCCGGCCUGAGAGGGUGACCGGCGACAUGGGGACUGAGAUACGGCCCAGACUGCUACGGGAGGCAGUAGGGGGGAAUCUGGCAGAAUGGGGGGAAGCCUGAUGCAGAAACGCCGCGUGCGGGAUGCCGGCUUUCUGGGUAUAAACAGAUGUGUACGGUGACGAGCAGGGAGUGACGGUAAUGGGUCAAGAAGCCCCGGCUAACUACGUG
This 468-nucleotide ribosomal RNA is filed under the name uncultured bacterium. RNAcentral describes it as "partial 16S ribosomal RNA". It matches the Rfam family "Bacterial small subunit ribosomal RNA", at positions 28 to 507 of the family's 1533-position model. The record is from RNAcentral.